RNAcentral lists this ribosomal RNA (379 nucleotides) under uncultured eukaryote. Its description in RNAcentral is "partial 18S ribosomal RNA". It matches the Rfam family "Eukaryotic small subunit ribosomal RNA", at positions 592 to 976 of the family's 1831-position model. The record is from RNAcentral.
CAAUAGCGUAUAUUUAAGUUGUUGCAGUUAAAAAGCUCGUAGUUGGAUUUCGGAUGGGAUUUGCCGGUCCGUCGUUACGAUGUGCACUGGCCAGUCCUAUCUUGUUGUCGGGGACUAGCUCCUUGGAUUCACUUCCUGGGACUAGGAGCUGACGAGGUUACUUUGAGUAAAUUAGAGUGUUCAAAGCAAGCCUACGCUCUGAAUACAUUAGCAUGGAAUAACACGAUAGGACUCUGGCUUAUCUUGUUGGUCUGUGAGACCAGAGUAAUGAUUAAGAGGGACAGUCGGGGACAUUCGUAUUUCAUUGUCAGAGGUGAAAUUCUUGGAUUUAUGAAAGACGAACUUCUGCGAAAGCAUUUGUCAAGGAUGUUUNCAUUGA